Long non-coding RNA from Leopardus geoffroyi (Geoffroy's cat), 2409 nucleotides. RefSeq lists it as uncharacterized. NCBI's taxonomy places the organism in Eukaryota, Metazoa, Chordata, Mammalia, Carnivora, Felidae. The record is from RefSeq and is a predicted model, not a curated record. The transcript has 4 exons.
GGUGGUGCUCUGAGGUGUCACCGGGAUGGAGACUGGCCUCAGCCUGCACUCCCCCCAUCGACCUGGGGGCAACACCUCUCCACGAUGAGCCUGGUUUUACCUUUGCACACUGCCUUUGAAAAGAGCCACCUUGACGCCCGUGGGCCUGGCCGUCCGUAACGACACAGACCUCUGACUGUGUUCCAGAUACCAGCCCAGGAGGAGGGGCCGGGUGCCCAGAGACGGUGAGGGGCUGGCCCCGCGCCACCCAGGACGCCCGUGCUGGCCGGCCCUCCCUCCACCUACGUGCUCGCUAACCGCCCACGUGCAAGUGCCGGGUCAGACUCAAGGCCGCGGUCAUCCGUGUCUUCACGGGACACCUCCAGGCCCUCCCUCCUGCAGCACGCAGACAGUAGGCUCACACUUCCACCCCCUUGCGCCGGGAUGGGUCCCAGGACUACUUCCGCCACUGCAUUGUGAGCAAAAGUGCCACGUGUCACUCGUCUCAAUGGAACAUCUCGUUACAGCUCAAACGCUGCGGUCCGUUCAGGAGCAAGGCGGGUGUCUCCUCGCAAAGGACGGGGCCCUCUGAGCACCAGGAAAUCAGGAGGCCAGUCGUGUGACUUCCCAGGAAGCUUAGCUCCAAGGGAAUCUGGCUCUUGGGCAAUGUCACCGUUCCUGGCCUCACAUCUGAAUAAGAACCAACUUUCUGGAGGUAUUAACCCAGGAACAAAUGUCGACCACGUUCACGAAAACCCCAGCGUGUGCCAAGUGCUGUCCGUCCCAACUCACCGACCCCCGAGGGAAGAGCCGGCUGCUUCCGUGACCUCGUGUCCCGGGGGGGGGGGGGGGGGGGGCUCCGCCUUUUCACAAGCGAUGUGCCCACAGGCCAGGGGUGGCGCCCGUCUGCCCGGGUUUCCUCGCCCGCAAGGUGGACGUGGUCACGGGGCCGCCAUCGCUCAGGGGCCGUCCUGAAAACGACACAAGGGGGGAAUGCACAGAAAACUCGGGCUCAGGAGUCCCCACCGGGCAGGAGGUGGGUCGAGCUGUGUCUCAGAGGGACCCCAAGACACAGGAGUCGCUUCUCUCGGCCACAGAGGCCAACUCUGCUCCCCUAAGGGCACGGUGGGCCAGGGCCCCCUCGCCAGGGCGUUGUCCUCAUCCCCCGGCCCAGAGCAACCCCCCAGCCACCGUGCACCCCCCGCCCUGGGAGGGCUGCAGGCUCCGGGCCCACCCAGAGCCACAUCCUCGGACCCGCUGGCCCGCGCUCCGUCACACGGCCACACCCGGCUGCAAGGAGGCGGGGCAAACAGCAUUUAUUUGGGGUGGCCCCUGCCCUUGCUUAGGAUUGGGGUGUGACGACACGGAGGAAGGGCAGGCAGGUGUGGGGACGUACGAGCCGUCCCAGCCCCGCCCCGCCCGGCAAGCACUGUUCUCUCCAUUUCACAGAUGGCACCACUGAGCCGCCUCCGAAGCCUUGGGCGGACGGGGACGUUGUCUUCUCCCACCAGCGCGCGGGAUCUCACCCGACAGGCAGUGCGGUGGGGGGUGGGGGCCGGGUGGGCGUCCCGUGGGGCCUCCGGGGGAGAGACCACCCUGCCAGGCCCGCACGGGGCCUCCUCAGGAAUGUGCACAGGAGGCCCUUCCCACAAGGCCAUUUUUCUCACCGCCUCGGGGGAUUAAGAUAGCAGACGGGGAGCCUCUCCCCUCCUCCACACGCCCGCCUGGCUGGUGAUGCCCAGUCGGGGGGAGGGCCGGGCGGGGGCCGGCUCUGCGCUCUGCUGAGCCCACGCCGGCAGGGCUCCGGGGUGCCGCCUGGGGCCAGGCACGGCGUGGCAUCAUCAGUCUACCACCACCGGCAGCCACGGAGGCCGGCUCCGCGCCUCUCCCCAGCCAGGACUCGAGGGCGCAGAGGCACGGUCACCUUGCCCAGGUGACUCGGUGACUCGGGAGGGCACGGCCACGGCAGCCGGGUCCCGCGGGGGUGUAACCGCAGCUCAGCACGACCUCCGGACAGGUGCUUCGCCCCUGCGUCUGUGACGGCGAAUCCGGCGCUCCCCUCGGACGGAUGCAAAGAGAACGAUGUGGCCACGCGGGGCUCUGGCCGUGCGCUGCCUGCCCUCCCCGGCGGGGCUUCCCCGGCGCAGUCUCCCCAUCCGUCGCCCGGGGGGGACAGUGGCUGCUCCCCUGCUCCUCUCCGUCGGGAGAGGGUGGACAGCAGCUGGCAUCGCCGUCCUGAUUGGUACUUGUCUUUGCGUUUGAAAUGAGACCAAAAGUUGAAAUAACCAAACGCAGGAGAAAAGAGGCAGAGGGGAGGGUGCAGAUCAGAGGGAGCUGGGACGGGCCGUAGACGCCUGGAAAGGGAGCCCAGCCGCCGAGCGGACCAGGCACCUUUGGCGCACCUGCUCGCUGCAGAGGCGAACACAGGCA